RNAcentral lists this ribosomal RNA (342 nucleotides) under uncultured bacterium. RNAcentral describes it as "bacterial SSU rRNA". It matches the Rfam family "Bacterial small subunit ribosomal RNA", at positions 139 to 480 of the family's 1533-position model. The record is from RNAcentral.
GGGGAUACCAGUUGGAAAAGGGUGUUAAUUCCGCAUAAUGUCUAGGGACCGAAGUGUGGGACCUUCGGGCCCCAUGCUAUCGGAUGGGCCUACGUGGGAUUAGAUAGUUGGUGAGGUAAUGGCUCACCAAGGGGACGAUCUCUAGCUGUUUUGAGAGGAUGAUCAGCCCCCCUGGAGGGGAGACACGGUCCAGACUCUUACGGGAGGCAGCAGUGGGGAAUAUUGGACAAUGGGCGCAAGCCUGAUUCAAAAGGGCCGCGUGUGUGAAGAAGUCCUUCGGGUGUAUUUUUAAAGGAGCGAGAAGGAAGGGUGGUGUUUAAUAGCACAUCAUUUGACGUACUC